UAAGUAUCUAGGACAAGGUAGGGGGAGAGGAGUCAGAAUGCGUGGCGGUGCUCAAAGAAGGGCCAGAGCUAGGGUCACUGAUGAAAUAAGAGCUACUAUUAUAGACCAUGUCGUUAACCUCGGGCUAUCACACAGGGAGGCUGGUGAAUGAGUCUAGCCAAAUCUCAGCAAGGGUACAGUGGCAUCUAUUGUCCGGACUUUUCGAGAAACAUACAGGAUUCAACGUCUACCUUUCUCAGAGGAAAGCCCAUUAAUGAAGAACAGGAACUUGUUAUUGUCAACAUGGUGAUUGCUGACAAUUAAAUAAAACUGUAGGAGAUUCAGUAGAGAGUUGAAGAUGACAACCUUGUCCUUGGGAACAUUGCAGCAAACAGCGUAACAUCAAUUUCUCGGACUCUCGCUAAACAAACGAGUCCAAAUGAAACAACUACACAAAGUUCCUUUUGAAAGGAACAGCGAGCGCAUCAAAGAACUAGAGAGUCAUGGAGUUGGAGACCAAACAAGUCCCAUAUGAAAUGAUCUACGUUGACGAGGCUGGCUUCAAGUUGGUGAAAAGGAGUUCUCUCUGGGACUGUCUGAGGGGAAAUGGGACAAGAUUAAACUUUACUUUUGUCUUCACUGCAAAGAUGAGGAAUCCAAAGAUCCAGCUUUAAAUCCCACCCCAAAACCAUCCAAAAGGUUUGGAUCUGUCUUUUGCAACUCAUAUUUUUAUUUCAUGAGUUUAAAAAAUCUAGUUCAAGUCCUUUGGCUGAAGCAUGGAGCAGUCUCUGCCAGUAUUUGGACACAACACACAUUUAUUUUCUUAUUUUGGCUCCAUACUGUUUAGCUUGGAUGGGAAAUGAUGAGAUGACUUUGAAGUUCAAGUGAAAACUAACAGCUUAGAUGACUUUCAGCCAAAUGAAUGCCCUUAUUUAUAGCCAUUCCAUAUGCACAAAGCCACACUUCACACUUAUGUAGGCACCUUCCCACAUAACAACUGUAACUUGACCUGAUCUUCCUAGAUCAUUUGUGCAACUUACUAACACUCUGAUUGCCAUAAACAAACUGUUUGGAUUAUGUUGCUGCUGUGUAAAGUCUAAUGUUGCAAUCUAUAUUGCCACUCACUUUAUCUUCCUCCAAAUUACUCUGCUUUCUAAUACAUGCUUUUGGUAUGGACUCCCUGUAUCUUGUAUAUGAGGCAUUAUGUGGUAAAACUAAUUUGCUUUUGGAUAACCCAAAGGAACACACUUACCCACUAUUUUAUUUGAUCUUUUCAAUUAAUACAUUGUUGACUAUUAUCAACUAAUCCCCAUGUAACAAUCAUGAUAACAGGAAAAGGCCAGAGAAACUCAAUUAGAGCUAACUCUAAAUGUAUCACAUUUUUAUUUAGCACUUCUGGGUCCACUGUGUUUUUUAAACUUAUACAUUUUACAUUUUAUUUUGAUAUCUCUCCCCUGUCAAAGGUGGUAGAAUGGUGGUAUUUACCAAUUUCUUGAUCAACAGCUGCCUCAAAUGACAACAAUGCAAAGCAGUGAGGAAUGUUGCAUCAUUUACUUUGUAGUGUAACCUUUAGCUUAAUGUAAUGUAAUCACGCUUGGUGGGUUUUUCUAUUGCAUUAAGUGGAAUA
Long non-coding RNA from Micropterus dolomieu (smallmouth bass), 1606 nucleotides. RefSeq lists it as uncharacterized. NCBI's taxonomy places the organism in Eukaryota, Metazoa, Chordata, Actinopteri, Centrarchiformes, Centrarchidae. The record is from RefSeq and is a predicted model, not a curated record. The transcript is spliced from 4 exons.